This is a long non-coding RNA of Xenia sp. Carnegie-2017, 1000 nucleotides long. RefSeq lists it as uncharacterized. The record is from RefSeq and is a predicted model, not a curated record. Lineage: Eukaryota; Metazoa; Cnidaria; Anthozoa; Malacalcyonacea; Xeniidae. The transcript has 3 exons.
ACAACAGACUACCUUGAUCAUCGAAUUUAAAAGUUCGUGCUUUACCGAGCCAUUAAUUAUAAAAAAUCUUUCAUUGAACUUGUAAUGCGAAUUUGAAAUACAUAAUUAUGUGAUAUAAGAGGCGUGUAUAGACACAAUUUUUUAUGUAUGACCAAGCUUUGUCUUUUUAAGGUAUCUUUGAAAACUUAAUAUAUACUUGGGUAAUGUUCGUGGUCUUUGUUUUUGAAAUAAGCGAAAAGGUGAAUGGAAGAAACCAUGGAUUAGCGAUGGUGCUUCCUAUUUUCAACGGUGUCCUUCCUACUCCAACUACGCCUAAGAAAAUUUCAUCAAAUCCAACGAUUUCAUUGGUAAAUCAUACUAUCCCUUACCUUUUCAAGCUUCCUCAUUAAUUGGAACUUAAAAUAGAAUGACGGUCAAUUUUGGCGUCCAAAACCUCUAGGUCAGAGCAGGGAUUAUUGGAAGUUUAACUUAAAACAGAAAAAGAAUCAAUUUAACGCUGUUGCCAUGACCAUACCAAACAAGAUUCAUUUCGCAAUUUUGAUAUCUGUGGACGACUUUCACAAAUGAAAAAACCCCAGCAAAGUCCAAAUGCUGGUAAGUUUCGUAAAUAGAAAGAAUAGUUGUUCUGAGAUUAUACAAAAUCCAUUACCAGCCGACAAUUUUAUAAAGUUUAAUAAAAAACUUCCUCCGAAUAAAAGGUCCAAAACUCAAUACUUAAGAAACAAACAAGACAGUUUUUUUACACAGUAAUAUUUCGAAUUUAUUACAAUUCAUCAUCGGAUUGUUUCUCAAAUAUUGAGUUAAACAUGAACAUUUUAUUCGGAAUAUGUUUUCUUAUUAUAGUAAAGGAAAGUAUAGCUUUUCUCCAUUUGUCGCAGCAAAUUCAUGCUAGCAAGCUGAGUAAUUCUGCUUGUGGAUGAAUUAUGGCGACGAUUGAUUCAACAAGACAUUCUGUAAUAAAGUAAAUGAUUUGAACCAAAGUAAAUGUCAACAACAACAA